Molecule: long non-coding RNA, 295 nt
Filed under: Homo sapiens (human)
Lineage: Eukaryota; Metazoa; Chordata; Mammalia; Primates; Hominidae
Description: non-protein coding PSORS1C3:2
Source: RNAcentral
GGCCCGGUGCCACCACCACCACUGGAGGCCUGACGAUGCCUGACGAUGCCUCACGCGGCAACCCACUCUCUGUGCUAUGACUUCAUUACUCUUUCCCAGCCCAGCCCUGGGCAAGCCCCUUACGAAGUCUCAGGCUACCUGGAUGACCACCCUUUCUUAUGAUGCUGCAAGGAGGGCAGGUGGGCAGAGCCCCGUGCAUCCUGGGCUCAGGCCAGGGACCCAAGAGCUUGGGAGAAGCUGGUUCUCAGACUGAAGGCCAGAGCCCAGCACCUUGUCACCAUCCCGGGGAGCAUCA